This 425-nucleotide ribosomal RNA is filed under the name uncultured bacterium. RNAcentral's name for it is "partial 16S ribosomal RNA". It matches the Rfam family "Bacterial small subunit ribosomal RNA", at positions 354 to 796 of the family's 1533-position model. The record is from RNAcentral.
GUGGGGAAUCUUGCGCAAUGGGCGAAAGCCUGACGCAGCCAUGCCGCGUGAAUGAUGAAGGUCUUAGGAUUGUAAAAUUCUUUCACCGGGGACGAUAAUGACGGUACCCGGAGAAGAAGCCCCGGCUAACUUCGUGCCAGCAGCCGCGGUAAUACGAAGGGGGCUAGCGUUGCUCGGAAUUACUGGGCGUAAAGGGCGCGUAGGCGGAUCGUUAAGUCAGGGGUGAAAUCCCAGAGCUCAACUCUGGAACUGCCCUUGAUACUGGCGAUCUUGAGUGUGAGAGAGGUAUGUGGAACUCCGAGUGUAGAGGUGAAAUUCGUAGAUAUUCGGAAGAACACCAGUGGCGAAGGCGACAUACUGGCUCAUUACUGACGCUGAGGCGCGAAAGCGUGGGGAGCAAACAGGAUUAGAUACCCCGGUAGUCC